Molecule: ribosomal RNA, 544 nt
Filed under: uncultured bacterium
Lineage: Bacteria
Description: bacterial SSU rRNA
Rfam family: Bacterial small subunit ribosomal RNA
Source: RNAcentral
AGCGAAUAGAUACCCGGGUAGUCCACGCCCUAAACGAUGUCGACUGGUUGUUGGGGGUUUGACACUCUCAGUAAACGAAAGCUAAACGCGUGAAGUCGACCGCCUGGGGAGUACGGCCGCAAGGUUAAAACUCAAAGGAAUUGACGGGGACCCGCACAAGCGGUGGAUUAUGUGGAUUAAUUCGAUGCAACGCGAAAAACCUUACCUACCCUUGACAUGUCCGGAAGGCUGCUGAAAGGCGACUGUGCCCGAAAGGGAACUGGAACACAGGUGCUGCAUGGCUGUCGUCAGCUCGUGUCGUGAGAUGUUGGGUUAAGUCCCGCAACGAGCGCAACCCUUGUCAUUAGUUGCUACAUUCAGUUGGGCACUCUAAUGAGACUGCCGGUGACAAACCGGAGGAAGGUGGGGAUGACGUCAAGUCCUCAUGGCCCUUAUGGGUAGGGCUUCACACGUAAUACAAUGGCGCGUACAGAGGGCUGCUAAGCCGCAAGGUAGAGCCAAUCCCUUAAAGCGCGUCGUAGUCCGGAUUGCAGUCUGCAACUCG